AGGAUAAACGCUGGCGGCGUGCCUAACACAUGCAAGUCGAACGUCUCUUCUUUCGGGAAGAGGAGUGGCGGACGGGUGAGGAACACGUGGGAACCUGCCCUUCAGUGAGGAAUACCGGCGAGAAAUCGCCGACAAGACCGCAUAGCCCUCUCUGGUGAGAGCCAGAGAAGGAAAGCCUCGCAAGAGGCGCUGGAGGAGGGGCCUGCGUCCGAUUAGCUAGUUGGUGGGGUAAGAGCCUACCAAGGCGUCGAUCGGUAGCUGGUCUGAGAGGACGAUCAGCCACACUGGGAUUGAGAACGGCCCAGACUCCUACGGGGGGCAGCAGUGAGGAAUUUUCGGCAAUGGGGGAAACCCUGACCGAGCAACGCCGCGUGCAGGAAGACGGCCUUCGGGUUGUAAACUGCUUUUCUUUGGGACGAGGCAAGGACGGUACCAGAGGAAUCAGCCCGGCUCACUACGUGCCAGCAGCCGC
This 472-nucleotide ribosomal RNA is filed under the name uncultured bacterium. RNAcentral describes it as "SSU rRNA". It matches the Rfam family "Bacterial small subunit ribosomal RNA", at positions 26 to 518 of the family's 1533-position model. The record is from RNAcentral.